RNAcentral lists this ribosomal RNA (1949 nucleotides) under human gut metagenome. Its description in RNAcentral is "bacterial LSU rRNA". It matches the Rfam family "Bacterial large subunit ribosomal RNA", at positions 3 to 1977 of the family's 2925-position model. The record is from RNAcentral.
UUAAGUUAAUAAGGGCGCACGGUGGAUGCCUUGGCACUAGAAGCCGAUGAAGGACGUGACUAACGACGAAAUGCUUUGGGGAGUUGUAAGUAAACAUUGAUCCAGAGAUGUCCGAAUGGGGGAACCCGGCAUGUAAUGCAUGUCACUCAUUACUGUUAAGGUAAUGAAGAGGAAGACGCAGUGAACUGAAACAUCUAAGUAGCUGCAGGAAGAGAAAGCAAAUGCGAUUGCCUUAGUAGCGGCGAGCGAAAUGGCAAGAGGGCAAACCGAUGUGUUUACACAUCGGGGUUGUAGGACUGCGACGUGGGACGACAAGAUUAUAGAAGAAUUACCUGGGAAGGUAAGCCAAAGAGAGUAACAGCCUCGUAUUCGAAAUAGUCUUUAACCCUAGCAGUAUCCUGAGUACGGCGAGACACGAGAAAUCUCGUCGGAAUCUGGGAGGACCAUCUCCUAACCCUAAAUACUCUCUAGUGACCGAUAGUGAACCAGUACCGUGAGGGAAAGGUGAAAAGCACCCCGGGAGGGGAGUGAAAUAGAACCUGAAACCGUGUGCCUACAACAAGUUCGAGCCCGUUAAUGGGUGAGAGCGUGCCUUUUGUAGAAUGAACCGGCGAGUUACGAUAUGAUGCGAGGUUAAGUUGAAGAGACGGAGCCGUAGGGAAACCGAGUCUUAAUAGGGCGCAUUAGUAUCAUGUCGUAGACCCGAAACCAUGUGACCUACCCAUGAGCAGGGUGAAGGUGAGGUAAAACUCACUGGAGGCCCGAACCAGGGCACGUUGAAAAGUGCUUGGAUGACUUGUGGGUAGCGGAGAAAUUCCAAACGAACUUGGAGAUAGCUGGUUCUCUCCGAAAUAGCUUUAGGGCUAGCGUCGAUGUUAAGUCUCUUGGAGGUAGAGCACUGUUUGAUUGAGGGGUCCAUCCCGGAUUACCAAUAUCAGAUAAACUCCGAAUGCCAAUGAGAUAUAAUCGGCAGUCAGACUGCGAGUGCUAAGAUCCGUAGUCGAAAGGGAAACAGCCCAGACCACCAGCUAAGGUCCCAAAAUAUAUGUUAAGUGGAAAAGGAUGUGGGGUUGCACAGACAACUAGGAUGUUAGCUUAGAAGCAGCUAUUCAUUCAAAGAGUGCGUAAUAGCUCACUAGUCGAGUGACCCUGCGCCGAAAAUGUACCGGGGCUAAAACAUAUUACCGAAGCUGUGGAUACCUUUUAGGUAUGGUAGGAGAGCGUUCUAUGUGUGAAGAAGGUGUACCGUGAGGAGCGCUGGAACGCAUAGAAGUGAGAAUGCCGGUAUGAGUAGCGAAAGACAGGUGAGAAUCCUGUCCACCGUAUGACUAAGGUUUCCAGGGGAAGGCUCGUCCUCCCUGGGUUAGUCGGGACCUAAGGAGAGACCGAAAGGUGUAUCCGAUGGACAACAGGUUGAUAUUCCUGUACUAGAGUAUAUAGUGAUGGAGGGACGCAGUAGGCUAACUAAAGCGUGCGAUUGGAAGUGCACGUCUAAGCAGUGAGGUGUGAUAUGAGUCAAAUGCUUAUAUCUCUAACAUUGAGCUGUGAUGGGGAGCGAAGUUAAGUAGCGAAGUUAGUGAUGUCACACUGCCAAGAAAAGCUUCUAGCGUUAAUUAUACUCUACCCGUACCGCAAACCGACACAGGUAGUCGAGGCGAGUAGCCUCAGGUGAGCGAGAGAACUCUCGUUAAGGAACUCGGCAAAAUGGCCCCGUAACUUCGGGAGAAGGGGCGCUGGCUUUAAGUCAGCCGCAGUGAAUAGGCCCAAGCAACUGUUUAUCAAAAACACAGCUCUCUGCUAAAUCGUAAGAUGAUGUAUAGGGGGUGACGCCUGCCCGGUGCUGGAAGGUUAAGAGGAGCGCUUAGCAUUAGCGAAGGUGUGAAUUGAAGCCCCAGUAAACGGCGGCCGUAACUAUAACGGUCCUAAGGUAGCGAAAUUCCUUGUCGGGU